RNAcentral lists this long non-coding RNA (445 nucleotides) under Columba livia (rock pigeon). Its description in RNAcentral is "partial uncharacterized LOC102088214, transcript variant X1". Lineage: Eukaryota; Metazoa; Chordata; Aves; Columbiformes; Columbidae. The record is from RNAcentral.
UUGGCUGUCCCUCCGCAUCCAUAAUGUAAUUAAAACAAGGGGGGAAAAAUUAUCAUGGAGGCAGAGGUUAAUGCAAGUGUUUAGCAGAUGCCUCACUGUAAAAUCUGCAUUAAAAAAAAAAAAAAAACCUAACAAACAAAAAUACAAAAAUCUCAUUAAAACUUAAAUAUCGGAUAAUCUCAAACCAGCUUGCUGCCUGCGCCUACGCACCUCGACCAGUAUUCACUCGACUCAGUUAUGCUCCUGAAAUCAGUUUCAUGCUUGUUUAACUGGUCUGAUCGCUGAAAAGAAGAAGAAGAAAAAAAAGUCUUUUCAGGAAACUAACAGAAGGAGCCUGGAAAUUGAGAACUUAGUGUCUUGUACCUCCUCAGAGCUGCAGAAAAAUGGAUCCGUGGCCAAAAUGUUGGAUGUAAAUGAGACAACAAAAAUAAAUAUUUUACAUCAC